GGGGGCGUAACGGCUUCGACGGGAUGAUUUCGUUGUGAUGAGGCGUGCCGGGUUCCGAGCUCCCGUAAAACGAUCGGAAAACCAAAAUUGCCAAUCAGCAAUUUGCAUACGCUGCCUAAAAUUUAGGUAGCCGCUCGCCGCAAUGAGCCUGCGCGUUGCGGGCCGAGCGUCAUUUUGCAGGAUAGGCUGUAAGCCGCCACCUGAGGCUGUAAGUCGAGAUCAAUCAGGCUGGGCCGUGUCUCUUCUUGCCGGUUCUGAGAGUACGGUCGAGAAACUGAAUCGGAAACGCACGUAGUUCUUGUCAUGGCGGGCCAUUUCGGACGCGGGUUCAACUCCCGCCGCCUCCACCA
RNAcentral lists this transfer-messenger RNA (350 nucleotides) under Paludibaculum fermentans. Its description in RNAcentral is "Standard tmRNA". It matches the Rfam family "transfer-messenger RNA". From Rfam's summary of the family: Bacterial tmRNA, also known as 10Sa RNA or SsrA, is named for its dual tRNA and mRNA-like properties. Its role is to liberate the mRNA from a stalled ribosome. To accomplish this part of the tmRNA is used as a reading frame that ends in a translation stop signal. The record is from Rfam by way of RNAcentral. Lineage: Bacteria; Pseudomonadati; Acidobacteriota; Terriglobia; Bryobacterales; Bryobacteraceae.